UGAGCAAUCUGCCCUUCACAUUGGAAUAACCAUUGGAAACGAUGGCUAAUACCGAAUAUGACUUCGGAUCGCAUGAUCUGAAGUGGAAAGCUCCGGCGGUGAAGGAUGAGCUCGCGGCCUAUCAGCUUGUUGGUGAGGUAAUAGCUCACCAAGGCGAUGACGGGUAGCCGGCCUGAGAGGGUGACCGGCCACACUGGGACUGAGACACGGCAGA
RNAcentral lists this ribosomal RNA (214 nucleotides) under uncultured bacterium. RNAcentral describes it as "partial 16S ribosomal RNA". It matches the Rfam family "Bacterial small subunit ribosomal RNA", at positions 118 to 335 of the family's 1533-position model. The record is from RNAcentral.